UACAGAGGAUGCAAGCGUUAUCCGGAAUGAUUGGGCGUAAAGCGUCUGUAGGUGGCUUUUUAAGUCCGCCGUCAAAUCCCAGGGCUCAACUCUGGACAGGCGGUGGAAACUACCAAGCUGGAGUACGGUAGGGGCAGAGGGAAUUUCCGGUGGAGCGGUGAAAUGCGUAGAGAUCAGCAGGAACACCCGUGGCGAAGGCGGCCCCCUGGGCCGAACCUGACGCUGAGGCGCGAAGGCUAGGGGAGCGAACGGG
RNAcentral lists this ribosomal RNA (253 nucleotides) under uncultured bacterium. RNAcentral's name for it is "partial 16S ribosomal RNA". It matches the Rfam family "Bacterial small subunit ribosomal RNA", at positions 524 to 776 of the family's 1533-position model. The record is from RNAcentral.